Molecule: non-coding RNA, 47 nt
Filed under: Halocynthiibacter namhaensis
Lineage: Bacteria; Pseudomonadati; Pseudomonadota; Alphaproteobacteria; Rhodobacterales; Paracoccaceae
Description: SAM-SAH-Weickhmann-2018 RNA
Rfam family: SAM/SAH riboswitch aptamer
Source: RNAcentral
CCGCCACAACGGCUUCCUGAAGUGGUGGAUUUAUUUGUACUGGAGCA